CGGAUGUAGCCAAGUGGAUCAAGGCGGU
This 28-nucleotide transfer RNA is filed under the name Miconia laevigata. RNAcentral describes it as "partial tRNA-His". The record is from RNAcentral. RNAcentral also lists the same sequence under 3 other names. Lineage: Eukaryota; Viridiplantae; Streptophyta; Magnoliopsida; Myrtales; Melastomataceae.